RNAcentral lists this ribosomal RNA (646 nucleotides) under Escherichia coli. RNAcentral's name for it is "partial 23S ribosomal RNA". It matches the Rfam family "Bacterial large subunit ribosomal RNA", at positions 360 to 1010 of the family's 2925-position model. Lineage: Bacteria; Pseudomonadati; Pseudomonadota; Gammaproteobacteria; Enterobacterales; Enterobacteriaceae. The record is from RNAcentral.
CAGGGUGACAGCCCCGUACACAAAAAUGCACAUAUUGUGAGCUCGAUGAGUAGGGCGGGACACGUGGUAUCCUGUCUGAAUAUGGGGGGACCAUCCUCCAAGGCUAAAUACUCCUGACUGACCGAUAGUGAACCAGUACCGUGAGGGAAAGGCGAAAAGAACCCCGGCGAGGGGAGUGAAAAAGAACCUGAAACCGUGUACGUACAAGCAGUGGGAGCCUCUUAAUGGGGUGACUGCGUACCUUUUGUAUAAUGGGUCAGCGACUUAUAUUCUGUAGCAAGGUUAACCGAAUAGGGGAGCCGAAGGGAAACCGAGUCUUAACUGGGCGUUAAGUUGCAGGGUAUAGACCCGAAACCCGGUGAUCUAGCCAUGGGCAGGUUGAAGGUUGGGUAACACUAACUGGAGGACCGAACCGACUAAUGUUGAAAAAUUAGCGGAUGACUUGUGGCUGGGGGUGAAAGGCCAAUCAAACCGGGAGAUAGCUGGUUCUCCCCGAAAGCUAUUUAGGUAGCGCCUCGUGAAUUCAUCUCCGGGGGUAGAGCACUGUUUCGGCAAGGGGGUCAUCCCGACUUACCAACCCGAUGCAAACUGCGAAUACCGGAGAAUGUUAUCACGGGAGACACACGGCGGGUGCUAACGUCCGUCG